RNAcentral lists this ribosomal RNA (25 nucleotides) under Pleurotus eryngii var. ferulae. RNAcentral describes it as "partial 18S ribosomal RNA". The record is from RNAcentral. Lineage: Eukaryota; Fungi; Basidiomycota; Agaricomycetes; Agaricales; Pleurotaceae.
UCCUUUGGGGGGCCUGCGGAAGGAU